GGGCAGGGGCGUUGUUUGCUUGUUUAAUUUACUAGUGUGUAUACGUACAUCUAUGCCUGGUGCCUGUGCGUGCGUGCAUGUGUGUGUGUGUGUGUGUGUAGGCGCCUGGUUUAGAACAUCCAAAACCAUGAGGCAAAAUAAGUCUUUCCUCUUCAACUACACUUGAUCUUAAGCCAAAGGCCAAGAGACAAUCCCAUUGUCUUCAUAAAUUUGUCAGGCAUUUGUUACAGUGAUCUAACUAACACAAUUCUCCAGGGUAAACUGAGGAACUAGACUGAAUUUGGAGAGGGGCUAAAAGGUGAAGCCUUCAUAUGACCAGCUGCUCUAGAGACAGCUCCCGGGACCAGGGCUGUCCGAAUUGGCACACGUGAGUGCGUGUGCUGACACUAUCCAUAGCCAUCUAUACUUCAUGCUUAACCGUGCAUCCUGCGUUUGAUCGGGCAGUCCUCUGUGGAUGGAUGGAGCACUGCGCUGCUUGGACAGGUUAUAAACCACCUCUAUAUUUUCUUCUUUUCUUCUACAUCAGUCUUGCUGCCCUAAGUUGAAUGCCACAGUCAGCAACAAGCCAUUGAGCUUUGUUCUCAGCCUCUGUCCUAGGCUGCCAAGACACAACUGCCAAUUCAAACAAUUCCACCUCUUACCUCCAGAGUCCCAGCCCCUGAAAAUGAGUUGUCCAAAGGAGCAACCCACUGAAUCCAGCUGUGACCCACUCACCUCUGCUGAUUCACCAGCCUUGGACUGAACCUCCUACACCUGAGCCUUCAGCACUCAAUACCCAACACCGCAGAUGGCAGGCACGUGAGCCCAGAGACACAGAAAAGACACCAUGACUGUGGGUCCCUUUCAGCACUUCACACAGCCGACAUCUCCUUAAUUCUGCCUCAGCCGACUUCUGCAGCUACCCGUUCCCAGCCUAUCACUUCACACUCAUAAAUAUCAGAGAUGCUUCCAUUUCCCCACUAUUUCUACAGAGUGGGCUGAAGCUCUGGCUUUAUCAUGACCUGGCUGAGUGUCCCUUGCCUUAUUCUCUCUGUGUGAUCUCAGAUACUCUGAAGGCUCUAUUGAAGGCUUGAUUCCCAUCCAACUCGUGUUCAUCGUUCAUUAAUUCAC
This 1110-nucleotide long non-coding RNA is filed under the name Mus spicilegus (steppe mouse). RNAcentral describes it as "lncRNA (ENSMSIG00000013610.1)". Lineage: Eukaryota; Metazoa; Chordata; Mammalia; Rodentia; Muridae. The record is from RNAcentral.